GUGGGGAAUAUUGGACAAUGGGGGGAACCCUGAUCCAGCCAUGCCGCGUGUGUGAAGAAGGCCUUUUGGUUGUAAAGCACUUUAAGCGAGGAGGAGGCUACCGAGAUUAAUACUCUUGGAUAGUGGACGUUACUCGCAGAAUAAGCACCGGCUAACUCUGUGCCAGCAGCCGCGGUAAUACAGAGGGUGCAAGCGUUAAUCGGAUUUACUGGGCAUAAAGCGCGCGUAGUUGGCCAAUUAAGUCAAAUGUGAAAUCCCCGAGCUUAACUUGGGAAUUGCAUUCGAUACUGGUUGGCUAGAGUAUGGGAGAGGAUGGUAGAAUUCCAGGUGUAGCGGUGAAAUGCGUAGAGAUCUGGAGGAAUACCGAUGGCGAAGGCAGCCAUCUGGCCUAAUACUGACACUGAGGUGCGAAAGCAUGGGGAGCAAACAGGAUUAGAAACCCUUGUAGUCC
RNAcentral lists this ribosomal RNA (451 nucleotides) under uncultured bacterium. RNAcentral's name for it is "partial 16S ribosomal RNA". It matches the Rfam family "Bacterial small subunit ribosomal RNA", at positions 354 to 796 of the family's 1533-position model. The record is from RNAcentral.